GGCUGAGUGGCGGAAUGGCAGACGCUGGGGACUUAAAAUCCCCUGCCCGUAAUUGGGCGUAUGGGUUCGACUCCCAUCUCGGCCA
Molecule: transfer RNA, 85 nt
Filed under: Planctomycetes bacterium RBG_13_46_10
Lineage: Bacteria; Pseudomonadati; Planctomycetota
Description: tRNA-Leu
Rfam family: tRNA
About the family: Transfer RNA (tRNA) molecules are approximately 80 nucleotides in length. Their secondary structure includes four short double-helical elements and three loops (D, anti-codon, and T loops). Further hydrogen bonds mediate the characteristic L-shaped molecular structure. tRNAs have two regions of fundamental functional importance: the anti-codon, which is responsible for specific mRNA codon recognition, and the 3' end, to which the tRNAs corresponding amino acid is attached (by aminoacyl-tRNA synthetases). tRNAs cope with the degeneracy of the genetic code in two manners: having more than one tRNA (with a specific anti-codon) for a particular amino acid; and 'wobble' base-pairing, i.e. permitting non-standard base-pairing at the 3rd anti-codon position.
Source: RNAcentral